Molecule: transfer RNA, 75 nt
Filed under: Marmota monax (woodchuck)
Lineage: Eukaryota; Metazoa; Chordata; Mammalia; Rodentia; Sciuridae
Description: tRNA.Ala
Source: RNAcentral
GCUGGGUUGUGGCUCAGUGGUAGAAUGCUUGCCCAGCAUGUGUGAGGCAAUGGGUUUGAUCCCCAAUCCCCAGCG